Molecule: non-coding RNA, 89 nt
Filed under: Pseudomonas jessenii
Lineage: Bacteria; Pseudomonadati; Pseudomonadota; Gammaproteobacteria; Pseudomonadales; Pseudomonadaceae
Source: RNAcentral
UGUUAUGGUGGUUGCGUGCAGGACGCCUUCGGGCGAGCUGAGUUUGGUGUUGUCUCGGUUGACCAAGCCUGCACGCGGCCGCCUCCACU